GUUAGACAGAUGCACAGCUAAAAUUAAGAUGUAAGAAAAAGUUAUUGCACCCUCUUUUUCUUGUUAAGAUCUAACUUUCCAUCAACCAUCACAAUGUCAUUAUUACUAUCAUCCUCUUCCACCUUCUUUUUAGUCAGCAUUGCACCAGUGACACUGAAUAUUUCUGGAUCGACAGCAACUGAAACAUCAGACGACUUUCUUUUCUUCCCAGCCGCAAGAAUUUCAGGGUCUUUGAGAAUGAUUUCUAUCUCAUCAUUAUCCUCUGACUCCAGUGGAACUGUCUGAGAUGCAUUAGACGAGCUCGGGCCAUUGUCCAAUGUCUUGGUCUUUUCUGCUGCAAGAGCUGGUGUCCAUCCUGAGAGAACCAUUCCAUCGGGUUCUUUCUCUUCAUCGAACUCCUCUCUGUGCUUAAUAUUGAUGCUGCACUUAAGCUCUUGCUGAAGAUCCUCCACUGUGAG
This 458-nucleotide unclassified non-coding RNA is filed under the name Hevea brasiliensis (rubber tree). Lineage: Eukaryota; Viridiplantae; Streptophyta; Magnoliopsida; Malpighiales; Euphorbiaceae. The record is from RNAcentral.